Molecule: ribosomal RNA, 373 nt
Filed under: uncultured organism
Description: partial 16S ribosomal RNA
Rfam family: Bacterial small subunit ribosomal RNA
Source: RNAcentral
GUAGGUGGCAAGCGUUGUCCGGAAUUAUUGGGCGUAAAGCGCGCGCAGGCGGGUCCUUUAAGUCUGAUGUGAAAGCCCACGGGCUCAACCGUGGAGGGUCAUUGGAAACUGGGGGACUUGAGUACAGAAGAGGAAAGCGGAAUUCCAAGUGUAGCGGUGAAAUGCGUAGAGAUUUGGAGGAACACCAGUGGCGAAGGCGGCUUUCUGGUCUGUAACUGACGCUGAGGCGCGAAAGCGUGGGGAGCAAACAGGAUUGAUACCCUGGUAGUCCACGCCGUAAACGAUGAGUGCUAAGUGUUAGGGGGUUUCCGCCCCUUAGUGCUGCAGCUAACGCAUUAAGCACUCCGCCUGGGGAGUACGGCCGCAAAGGCUG